UUACGGCUCAGUAACACGUAGCUAACCUACCCUUAGGACGUGGACAACCCCGAGAAAUUGGGGCUAAUCCCCGAUAGGUGUGAUGUCCUGGAAUGGUAUCACGCCCAAAGGUAUCAACAGCAUGUUGUUUUUACGCCUAAGGAUGAGGCUGCGGCCGAUCAGGCAGUUGGUGAGGUAAAGGCUCACCAAACCUUUGACCGGUAUGGGCCAUGAGAGUGGUAGCCCGGAGAUGGACACUGAGACAAGGGUCCAGGCCCUACGGGGCGCAGCAGGCGCGAAACCUCCUCAAUGCACUCAGGUGCGAAGGGGUUACCUCGAGUGCCAUCUGAAGAAGGUGGCUUUUCCUUGGUCUAAAUAGCCUUGGGAAUAAGAGGGGGGCAAGACUGGUGUCAGCCGCCGCGGUAACACCAGCCCCUCGAGUGGUGGGGAUGAUUAUUUGGCCUAAAGCGUCCGUAGCCGGCCGAGUAAGUUUCCCGUUAAAUCCAGCGUCUCAAGCGUUGGGCUGCGGGAAAUACUGCCCGGCUAGAGAGUGGGAGAGGUAAGCGGUAUUCUGGGGGUAGGGGCGAAAUCCUUUGAUCCCCGGAGGACCACCAGUGGCGAAGGCUGCUUACUAGAACACGUCUGACGGUCAGGGACGAAAGCUGGGGUAGCGAACCGGAUUAGAUACCCGGGUAGUCCCAGCCGUAAACGAUGCACGCUGGGUGUUGGGUCGGCCACGAGCCGCCCCAGUGCCGCAGGGAAGCCGUUAAGCGUGCCGCCUGGGAAGUACGGCCGCAAGGCUGAAACUUAAAGGAAUUGGCGGGGGAGCACAAU
Molecule: ribosomal RNA, 813 nt
Filed under: uncultured crenarchaeote
Lineage: Archaea; Thermoproteati; Thermoproteota
Description: bacterial SSU rRNA
Rfam family: Archaeal small subunit ribosomal RNA
Source: RNAcentral